Molecule: transfer RNA, 84 nt
Filed under: Patescibacteria group bacterium
Lineage: Bacteria
Description: tRNA-Tyr
Rfam family: tRNA
About the family: Transfer RNA (tRNA) molecules are approximately 80 nucleotides in length.
Source: RNAcentral
GCGUCGGUGGCAGAGUGGUCAAUUGCAACUGGCUGUAAACCAGUCGCCCCAUGGGCUACGGGGGUUCGAAUCCCUCCCGGCGCA